This 199-nucleotide long non-coding RNA is filed under the name Vigna radiata. Its description in RNAcentral is "long non-coding RNA (VRAD_LNC015314)". Lineage: Eukaryota; Viridiplantae; Streptophyta; Magnoliopsida; Fabales; Fabaceae. The record is from RNAcentral.
UUAAACACAAAAGUGGAUGGAUGAAUGGAGUUGUUGGGGGUUUACAAUUUCAUCUUAUCCUCUCUCUCUUAUUUACUCCUCUUGAUUUAUUAGCUUGAUUAAUUAAUUGUCAUGCAACUUUCUUAGCCUACCCUUAACCCAAUCCCUCGGCGAAAAGAGCCUAAUACUAAUUACUGGCUUGCUAUCCCUAGCCUCCCCU